AUUGAACGCUGGCGGCAUGCUUUACACAUGCAAGUCGAACGGUAACAGGGAGCUUGCUCCGCUGACGAGUGGCGAACGGGUGAGUAAUGCAUCGGAACAUGCCCAGUCAUGGGGGAUAACUACGCGAAAGCGUAGCUAAUACCGCAUACGCCCUGAGGGGGAAAGUGGGGGAUCUUAGGACCUCACGUGAUUGGAGUAGCCGAUGUCAGAUUAGCUAGUUGGUGAGGUAAAGGCUCACCAAGGCGACGAUCUGUAGCGGGUCUGAGAGGAUGAUCCGCCACACUGGGACUGAGACACGGCCCAGACUCCUACGGGAGGCAGCAGUGGGGAAUUUUGGACAAUGGGCGCAAGCCUGAUCCAGCCAUGCCGCGUGAGUGAAGAAGGCCUCGGUGUAAG
Molecule: ribosomal RNA, 396 nt
Filed under: uncultured bacterium
Lineage: Bacteria
Description: bacterial SSU rRNA
Rfam family: Bacterial small subunit ribosomal RNA
Source: RNAcentral